GCGGAAGUGGCGGAACGGCAGACGCGCUAGCCUCAGGAGCUAGUUGGAGCAAUCCAGUGGGGGUUCAAAUCCCCCCUUCCGCACCA
This 86-nucleotide transfer RNA is filed under the name Acidobacteria bacterium RIFCSPLOWO2_02_FULL_64_15. Its description in RNAcentral is "tRNA-Leu". It matches the Rfam family "tRNA". Rfam says of the family: Transfer RNA (tRNA) molecules are approximately 80 nucleotides in length. Their secondary structure includes four short double-helical elements and three loops (D, anti-codon, and T loops). The record is from RNAcentral. Lineage: Bacteria; Pseudomonadati; Acidobacteriota. RNAcentral also lists the same sequence under 9 other names.